UGAUACCACGAUAAGGUGGAUGAAGAAGCCCAGAUGUGGCGUUCCCGACCAGAUAGGGGGUGCGUCCAAAUUCAGUGUCAGGAAACGGCGGUACGCUCUCACAGGACAGAAGUGGCAGCACAAACAUAUCACAUACAGGUCUAAAGAAAAGAGGAAAACGAGCUGAGCAACUGGAUGAAGAGCGGAAGAGGAGAUUGGUGGAAAUGAGGAGUUGUG
Paralichthys olivaceus (Japanese flounder) is the source of this 216-nucleotide non-coding RNA. The record is from RefSeq and is a predicted model, not a curated record. Lineage: Eukaryota; Metazoa; Chordata; Actinopteri; Pleuronectiformes; Paralichthyidae.